GGGCCCGUAGCUCAGCUUGGUAGAGCACCAGACUCUUAAUCUGGCCGCCGAGGGUUCAAAUCCCUCCGGGCUCG
RNAcentral lists this transfer RNA (74 nucleotides) under Candidatus Iainarchaeum sp. RNAcentral describes it as "tRNA-Lys". It matches the Rfam family "tRNA". Rfam says of the family: Transfer RNA (tRNA) molecules are approximately 80 nucleotides in length. Their secondary structure includes four short double-helical elements and three loops (D, anti-codon, and T loops). Further hydrogen bonds mediate the characteristic L-shaped molecular structure. tRNAs have two regions of fundamental functional importance: the anti-codon, which is responsible for specific mRNA codon recognition, and the 3' end, to which the tRNAs corresponding amino acid is attached (by aminoacyl-tRNA synthetases). tRNAs cope with the degeneracy of the genetic code in two manners: having more than one tRNA (with a specific anti-codon) for a particular amino acid; and 'wobble' base-pairing, i.e. permitting non-standard base-pairing at the 3rd anti-codon position. The record is from RNAcentral. Lineage: Archaea; Nanobdellati; Candidatus Iainarchaeota; Candidatus Iainarchaeia; Candidatus Iainarchaeales; Candidatus Iainarchaeaceae.